CUUGACUGUAUCCUGGAAUUGGGUUCGGGCUUUUCUUGCGCAGCCUAGGUGGGAGGCUAUGAAGAUUUCCUUCCGGGGAAGUUGGAGCCAUCAGUGAGAGACCACUCUGGAGAGGCUAGAAUCCUAAUGGUGAUCCUUGAAUCAGGACACUUGACAGUUUCAGGCGGGCAGUUUUUCUGGGGCGGAAACCUCAUAAAAGGUAACUGAGGUGCGCAAAGGUUCCCUCAGUCUGGACGGAAAUCAGACAACGAGUGUAAAGGCAAAAGGGGGCUUGACUGCAAGACCUACAAGUCGAGCAGGAGCGAAAGCUGGCCUUAGUGAUCCGACGGUACCGUGUGGAAGGGCCGUCGCUCAACGAAUAAAAGUUA
RNAcentral lists this ribosomal RNA (368 nucleotides) under uncultured organism. RNAcentral's name for it is "bacterial LSU rRNA". It matches the Rfam family "Bacterial large subunit ribosomal RNA", at positions 2099 to 2465 of the family's 2925-position model. The record is from RNAcentral.